CUAUUCCUCUUGCUUUUUUUCUGUGCUUAUCAAGAAAGUCUAUACAAGGAAGAUGAUGGCUGUGGUAAUGUGCUAUGAGUUAAAUUGUGUCCCUCUCAAAAAUUAUGUUGAAGUUUUAACUCUUGGUACCUGUGAAUGUGAUCUUUUUUGGACACUGGGUCUCUACAGAUGUUAUCAAGUUCAGAUGAGGUCAUUAGGGUGAGCUCUAGUCCAAUAAAACUGAUGUCCUUCCAAGAGGAGGAGAGUGUCAUGUGAUGACAGGACAAGAGAUUGGAGCCAUUCAACUGGAAGCCAAGGAAUGCCAAGGAUUACAGGGACUGGUAGAAGCUGGAAGUGGCAAAGAAGGAUUAUACUCAUGGUCUCAGAGAGAGUGUGAGCCUGCUGACAUAGAUUGCAGACUUCUAGACUCAGGAACUUUCAGUUGUCGUCAGAGAGACCUACAGCCCACGAUGCUGAGAAUCCUUACUGCCUGGUCGUUCACAAAAGAGUUUUCUAAACCCUGCUCUAGACUUGUACAAGAAAAUCUGUAUGUGAGUUUUGGUUCUUCUGCCUUCCUAAAUCAAAACUUGGGACAUUCCCUUAGGGUCCACGUUAAAGGCUGCUGGAUCAUAAAAAAUGUGCGCUCAUUUUAUUAGAGCUCCCUUGAUUGCUUGCUGUAGGCAUAUGGGGUUACAUGAUAAGAUACAAGAACAGAAGCUGGGAACUCUCUUUUAGGUAGGAUUGUGCUUGGGAAGCGGGACUUCCCAGGUGGCAUUCGUGGAGAGUGGACACCACUGAAGAGAUUUAGCACGCACGAGCUUAGGAGCAGUCGUGUGCUGGAAGUGGCUAUCCUGGUUCAUGAGAUAAAUAACUGUUUAUCUAACUGUUAAAUAAUCAGAAAUUUUGUAAGCUGGUUAUUAAGAAUUGCCAUAAUAAAAAUGAAGUUACAUGUGUAUAGUUAAUAAAA
Long non-coding RNA from Bos indicus x Bos taurus (hybrid cattle), 946 nucleotides. Lineage: Eukaryota; Metazoa; Chordata; Mammalia; Artiodactyla; Bovidae. The record is from Ensembl.